GAUGAACGCUGGCGGCGUGCCUAAUACAUGCAAGUCGAGCGAACGGACGAGAAGCUUGCUUCUCUGAUGUUAGCGGCGGACGGGUGAGUAACACGUGGAUAACCUACCUAUAAGACUGGGAUAACUUCGGGAAACCGGAGCUAAUACCGGAUAAUAUUUUGAACCGCAUGGUUCAAAAGUGAAAGACGGUCUUGCUGUCACUUAUAGAUGGAUCCGCGCUGCAUUAGCUAGUUGGUAAGGUAACGGCUUACCAAGGCAACGAUGCAUAGCCGACCUGAGAGGGUGAUCGGCCACACUGGAACUGAGACACGGUCCAGACUCCUACGGGAGGCAGCAGUAGGGAAUCUUCCGCAAUGGGCGAAAGCCUGACGGAGCAACGCCGCGUGAGUGAUGAAGGUCUUCGGAUCGUAAAACUCUGUUAUUAGGGAAGAACAUAUGUGUAAGUAACUGUGCACAUCUUGACGGUACCUAAUCAGAAAGCCACGGCUAACUACGUGCCAGCAGCCGCGGUAAUACGUAGGUGGCAAGCGUUAUCCGGAAUUAUUGGGCGUAAAGCGCGCGUAGGCGGUUUUUUAAGUCUGAUGUGAAAGCCCACGGCUCAACCGUGGAGGGUCAUUGGAAACUGGAAAACUUGAGUGCAGAAGAGGAAAGUGGAAUUCCAUGUGUAGCGGUGAAAUGCGCAGAGAUAUGGAGGAACACCAGUGGCGAAGGCGACUUUCUGGUCUGUAACUGACGCUGAUGUGCGAAAGCGUGGGGAUCAAACAGGAUUAGAUACCCUGGUAGUCCACGCCGUAAACGAUGAGUGCUAAGUGUUAGGGGGUUUCCGCCCCUCAGUGCUGCAGCUAACGCAUUAAGCACUCCGCCUGGGGAGUACGACCGCAAGGUUGAAACUCAAAGGAAUUGACGGGGACCCGCACAAGCGGUGGAGCAUGUGGUUUAAUUCGAAGCAACGCGAAGAACCUUACCAAAUCUUGACAUCCUUUGACAACUCUAGAGAUAGAGCUUUCCCCUUCGGGGGACAAAGUGACAGGUGGUGCAUGGUUGUCGUCAGCUCGUGUCGUGAGAUGUUGGGUUAAGUCCCGCAACGAGCGCAACCCUUAAGCUUAGUUGCCAUCAUUAAGUUGGGCACUCUAAGUUGACUGCCGGUGACAAACCGGAGGAAGGUGGGGAUGACGUCAAAUCAUCAUGCCCCUUAUGAUUUGGGCUACACACGUGCUACAAUGGACAAUACAAAGGGCAGCGAAACCGCGAGGUCAAGCAAAUCCCAUAAAGUUGUUCUCAGUUCGGAUUGUAGUCUGCAACUCGACUACAUGAAGCUGGAAUCGCUAGUAAUCGUAGAUCAGCAUGCUACGGUGAAUACGUUCCCGGGUCU
Molecule: ribosomal RNA, 1372 nt
Filed under: uncultured bacterium
Lineage: Bacteria
Description: bacterial SSU rRNA
Rfam family: Bacterial small subunit ribosomal RNA
Source: RNAcentral